GAUGAACGCUGGCGGCGUGCCUAAUACAUGCAAGUCGAGCGAACGGACGAGAAGCUUUCUUCUCUGAUGUUAGCGGCGGACGGGUGAGUAACACGUGGAUAACCUACCUAUAAGACUGGGAUAACUUCGGGAAACCGGAGCUAAUACCGGAUAAUAUUUUGAACCGCAUGGUUCAAAAGUGAAAGACGGUCCUGCUGUCACUUAUAGAUGGAUCCGCGCUGCAUUAGCUAGUUGGUAAGGUAACGGCUUACCAAGGCAACGAUGCAUAGCCGACCUGAGAGGGUGAUCGGCCACACUGGAACUGAGACACGGUCCAGACUCCUACGGGAGGCAGCAGUAGGGAAUCUUCCGCAAUGGGCGAAAGCCUGACGGAGCAACGCCGCGUGAGUGAUGAAGGUCUUCGGAUCGUAAAACUCUGUUAUUAGGGAAGAACAUAUGUGUAAGUAACUGUGCACAUCUUGACGGUACCUAAUCAGAAAGCCACGGCUAACUACGUG
This 497-nucleotide ribosomal RNA is filed under the name uncultured bacterium. RNAcentral describes it as "partial 16S ribosomal RNA". It matches the Rfam family "Bacterial small subunit ribosomal RNA", at positions 28 to 507 of the family's 1533-position model. The record is from RNAcentral.